RNAcentral lists this ribosomal RNA (247 nucleotides) under uncultured soil bacterium. Its description in RNAcentral is "partial 16S ribosomal RNA". It matches the Rfam family "Bacterial small subunit ribosomal RNA", at positions 26 to 267 of the family's 1533-position model. The record is from RNAcentral.
AGAGUGAACGCUGGCGGUAGGCCUAACACAUGCAAGUCGAACGGCAGCACAGUGGUAGCAAUACCAUGGGUGGCGAGUGGCGGACGGGUGAGGAAUACAUCGGAAUCUACCUUUUCGUGGGGGAUAACGUAGGGAAACUUACGCUAAUACCGCAUACGCCCUUUGGGGGAAAGCCGGGGAUCGCAAGACCUGGCGCGGAUAGAUGAGCCGAUGUCGGAUUAGCGUAGUUGGUAGAGGUAAUGGCUCA